Molecule: long non-coding RNA, 496 nt
Organism: Oreochromis niloticus (Nile tilapia)
Lineage: Eukaryota; Metazoa; Chordata; Actinopteri; Cichliformes; Cichlidae
Exons: 3
Source: RefSeq, a predicted model, not a curated record
UAUAAUAUACUGAGUGUGAACAUUCUCAAAACUGUAUUGUAUAUAGUUUUUUUUUUUAUUGUGUAAAUUUAAUUUUUGUAAAACUAAGGUUCCACAUGUCACUGUUGAAGUGAGGCAUUAAUCAGUGUGACACCACUUGUAAACAUGCUGCAUGUGUGGGGGUUCCCAGCCAGAGCUGCAUGGACUCCACACUGGGAUGAGCAGAGGCGUGCUGUUGCUGUGUGACACUGAUUUUGCUGCUCCACUUUGUGUUUUAGAGCUGCAUGGACUCCACACUGGGAUGAGCAGAGGCGUGCUGUUGCUGUGUGACACUGAUUUUGCUGCUCCACUUUGUGUUUUAGAGCUGCAUGGACUCCACACUGAGCUGCAUGGACUCCACACUGAAAUAAAUCCAGUUUCCAGCCAGUCUGUGUCUGUCGUCACAACGCAGUCAACCGUUCGAAAUCUGCUACACAGUGACAAUAAUAUUGUAUGUUGUAAUCGCACUGGACAGUUA